RNAcentral lists this microRNA precursor (84 nucleotides) under Tupaia belangeri chinensis (Chinese tree shrew). Its description in RNAcentral is "Tupaia chinensis (Chinese tree shrew) mir-221 microRNA precursor family". It matches the Rfam family "mir-221 microRNA precursor family". The record is from Rfam by way of RNAcentral. Lineage: Eukaryota; Metazoa; Chordata; Mammalia; Scandentia; Tupaiidae.
ACCCUCAAUGGCUCAGUAGCCAGUGUAGAUCCUGUCUUUUGUAAUCAGCAGCUACAUCUGGCUACUGGGUCUCUGAUGGUAUCU